UUUUUAAUUUAUUUGGCAGGCACGUUCGUUCAAAUCUAUUGGAAUUUUUUUUUUACAGAUCUAAAGUAGUUCUAUAUAUAAUUUAAUCGGUUCAAGAUGAAGGAUUCAAAAUCAAUUAAUAUCUGAAUAGUAAUAGUCAAGUAAAAAUAAGGAUCGUAUAAUUUAUAAAGAAUUAUUUAUUUGAAGUAAAUAGUACAAGUUACAAAUUCUCAGAAUUCAUAUUUGAAGCGUAAUUUAAUUUUCCUUUGAACGAAUAUCGUAAAUUCACGGCAUUAUUAUUAUUUUUUGUAUAUACUAUUUGUUACAACCAUUGUGAAGUGUGAAAUAGUUUAAUAUCAAGAAGAAAACAUAAACAUUAUUACUAAGUGGGGAGGAUUAAAUCAAAGACGUUCCUCAUAAAUAUAAAUGAAACAUUCUUAUAUUCGCAGUCGAAGAAGCUAGUUCAAACUGUGAAAUAUGAAAAUGAAUAUUUGAUAGAGUGGUAUUUCUCAAGGAGGUUCGACGUUUGAACGUAAUAUUCAACAAUUCAAAGAAAUAAUAUGGAUAACAUAAUAAUUUAAUAACAUAAUCGGAUAUGGAAAAUUAUUUAAGCAAAGUUACAGCAAAAGUAAAAUUCAAACAUCAUUCUGAUAAAAUAUUUAAGAAAUUAACUCUUUAAGAGUUUUGGUUUGAAAAAAAUAAAUAUUUUUGAAUUAAAAAUCUUAACGAUAUUCACCAUAAAAAACGAAUUUUCUAAAAAAUUUUUAUUCACAUAUUAUGUGUACAUCAAAUGUAAAAAAUUUUAUAAGAUAAAUUUUACAUCAUAUAUGAAAAAUGAAACCGAGAACAGAAAAGAAAAAAAUAUUUGACAUAAUAGAAACAAUAUCUACUUCAUUUGAAUUGAGUUUAAAUAGGAAUUAUUUUGAAAAAUGUUUAUAAAUCAAACUGAUUAUAUAAUUAAUAAUUAUAUAAUUAAUAAUAUUAGUAACAUUUUUCUUUAAUAUAAAAAAAUUGAUAAUACAUGCUUUUAGAUAUUAAUUGAUAUCAUUAGAAAUUUAAAAUAUCAUUUGUAUAUGAAUGAAAAAUUUACUAUUUAUCAUUAUCAUUUAAUAUAAAUGAUAUUUAUAUAUUUCAAUGAUUUCAUAUUAAUUCAAUCACUAAGCAUAUAUUCAUAUUUUUAUAUUUUAAAAGAAAAAUGAUCUUAUGCUCAACACAUUUCUCAAAAUAAUAAAAAAUUAUUUAUCAACUACUAAACAGUAAAGUGAUAUCAAUAAAUUAUUAUAUUGAUAUUGAUUUUACAAUAUUACAAUAUUAUCAUUAAAUAUAUAAAAUCGAUCAACUCAUGUUACUAAUAAUUCUACAUUUUUCGAUGAUGUGUAUAUUAAAGAGAAUUAUUUCUAUCUAACAAGUGCUUUUCGAGAAUUUAUUAAAUUUAUAAUGAGAUUUAUAAAAUAAAAUUUGACUGCUUCGGAUAGUAUUAAUCUGUAGCUAAUCUCUAAUUUUUUGAAAAUUUUAUUAUUAAUGAUAAAUGUGCGAUGAUUUAAUGAACAUAUACUUGGCAAUAAUUAAAUUUUGUAUUUUGCCAAAUUGAAAUUAUUAAAAUAUAUAUGUACAAUCUUAUAAGAAUAAGAAUUUAUUAAUGAUUACAUCAUAGAAUAUAAGUCAUUAAAUUCAGAGAUCCUUAUCAUCGUUCUUGUAAUGAUGAAUGCUUUAUUAAGGAUUUUUUGAUAAAAAAAAUGACAUUAUAAUCACUAUAAAUUAUUUGUUUAUAUCUUUGUCAAUAUAUUUUUUUGAUUUAAUUGUAUUCUUAAUAUAUAAUAUUUUAUUCAAUUUUUAAUUUAUUACUUCAGAUUAUUUCGUUCAUUUAAUAAUUAUCAAAAAAUAUAACAUUUAUUUAAAAAAUAAAUUAAAGAUAAUAAAAUUUCACUUAGAAAAAAUUAGAUAUUAAAAAAUAGUUUAUAUAAUAUUCAUAAAAAAAAUAUGGUUUUAGAAAUUAUUUUUCUCUUAAUAUAUUCUAAAAGAAUUUUCAAAUAUUUGAGCUAGAUCCUCUCUUGAAUGUUCUCGUGGUGCUAAUUUCGUAAGACGUUGCUGUAAAUAAUAUAAAAUUAAUUUAUAAUAUUAAUGAAGAAAAAUACAAAAAUUAUAUAUGUAACCAUAAUGUAUGUAAAAUAAAAAAAUAUUGUAUGAUCAUACCAAAAAAUUUAAAAUGUAAAAAUAUAUAUAUAUACAUAUAUAUAUAUAUAUAUAUAUAUGUAUGUAUAUAUAUAUAUAUAUGUAUAUAUAUAUAUAUAUAUAUAUGUAUGUAUAUAUAUAUAUUAUAUUACAUGACAAUUAUUAAUUCGUCAUAUGCUAGCAUAUGAAAUUAAAAAUAUAUGACAAAUUUACUUAAUUGUCAUUCAUUCAUGUAUGGUGACCAAUAAAUCACUAUUUAAAAUUGA
Long non-coding RNA from Apis cerana (Asiatic honeybee), 2417 nucleotides. RefSeq lists it as uncharacterized. Lineage: Eukaryota; Metazoa; Arthropoda; Insecta; Hymenoptera; Apidae. The record is from RefSeq and is a predicted model, not a curated record.